GUAGGGAAUAUUGCACAAUGGAGGAAACUCUGAUGCAGCGACGCCGCGUGAGUGAUGAAGGCCUUCGGGUCGUAAAGCUCUGUCGCAGGGGAAUAACACAAUGAAGGUACCCUGUAAGAAAGGAUCGGCUAACUUCGUGCCAGCAGCCGCGGUAAGACGAGGGAUCCUAGCGUUGUUCGGAAUCAUUGGGCGUAAAGCGGAUGUAGGUGGCUAUGUAAGUCAGAUGUGAAAGCCUGGGGCUCAACCCAAGAAGUGCAUUUGAUACUGCGUAGCUUGAGUGUCGGAGAGGUUACUAGAAUUGUUGGUGUAGUGGUGAAAUACGUAGAUAUCAACAGGAAUACCGGAGGCGAAGGCGGGUAACUGGCCGAACACUGACACUGAGAUCCGAAAGCGUGGGGAUCAAACAGGAUUAGAUACCCGGGUAGUCC
RNAcentral lists this ribosomal RNA (428 nucleotides) under uncultured bacterium. RNAcentral describes it as "partial 16S ribosomal RNA". It matches the Rfam family "Bacterial small subunit ribosomal RNA", at positions 354 to 796 of the family's 1533-position model. The record is from RNAcentral.